GACGAACGCUGGCGGCGUGCCUAAUACAUGCAAGUAGAACGCUGAAGAGAGGAGCUUGCUCUUCUUGGAUGAGUUGCGAACGGGUGAGUAACGCGUAGGUAACCUGCCUUGUAGCGGGGGAUAACUAUUGGAAACGAUAGCUAAUACCGCAUAACAAUGGAUGACACAUGUCAUUUAUUUGAAAGGGGCAAUUGCUCCACUACAAGAUGGACCUGCGUUGUAUUAGCUAGUAGGUGAGGUAAUGGCUCACCUAGGCGACGAUACAUAGCCGACCUGAGAGGGGGAUCGGCCACACUGGGACUGAGACACGGCCCAGACUCCUACGGGAGGCAGCAGUAGGGAAUCUUCGGCAAUGGGGGCAACCCUGACCGAGCAACGCCGCGUGAGUGAAGAAGGUUUUCGGAUCGUAAAGCUCUGUUGUAAGUCAAGAACGGGUGCGAGGGUGGAAAGUUCACACUGUGACGGUAGCUUACCAGAAAGGGACGGCUAACUACGUG
RNAcentral lists this ribosomal RNA (497 nucleotides) under uncultured bacterium. RNAcentral's name for it is "partial 16S ribosomal RNA". It matches the Rfam family "Bacterial small subunit ribosomal RNA", at positions 28 to 507 of the family's 1533-position model. The record is from RNAcentral.